AGAGUUUGAUCCUGGCUCAGGAUGAACGCUGACAGAAUGCUUAACACAUGCAAGUCGACUCGAGUCUUCGGACUUGGGUGGCGCACGGGUGAGUAACGCGUAAAGAACUUGCCUCUUAGACCGGGACAACAUCUGGAAACGGAUGCUAAUACCGGAUAUUAUGGUUUUUUCGCAUGGAGGAAUCAUGAAAGCUAGAUGCGCUAAGAGAGAGCUUUGCGUCCCAUUAGCUGGUUGGUGAGGUAACGGCCCACCAAGGCAAUGAUGGGUAGCCGGCCUGAGAGGGUGAACGGCCACAAGGGGACUGAGACACGGCCCUUACUCCUACGGGAGGCAGCAGUGGGGAAUAUUGGACAAUGGACCACAAGUCUGGUCCAGCAAUUCUGUGUGCACGAUGACGUUUUUCGGAAUGUAAAGUGCUUUCAGUCGGGAAGAAGUCAGUGACGGUACCGACAGAAGAAGCGACGGCUAAAUACGUGCCAGCAGCCGCGGUAAUACGUAUGUCGCAAGCGUUAUCCGGAUUUAUUGGGCGUAAAGCGCGUCUAGGCGGCAAGGAAAGUCUGAUGUGAAAAUGCGGAGCUCAACUCCGUAUGGCGUUGGAAACUGCCUUACUAGAGUACUGGAGAGGUAGGCGGAACUACAAGUGUAGAGGUGAAAUUCGUAGAUAUUUGUAGGAAUGCCGAUGGGGAAGCCAGCCUACUGGACAGAUACUGACGCUAAAGCGCGAAAGCGUGGGUAGCAAACAGGAUUAGAUACCCUGGUAGUCCACGCUGUAAACGAUGAUUACUAGGUGUUGGGGGUCAAACCUCAGCGCCCAAGCUAACGCGAUAAGUAAUCCGCCUGGGGAGUACGUACGCAAGUAUGAAACUCAAAGGAAUUGACGG
Molecule: ribosomal RNA, 881 nt
Filed under: uncultured bacterium
Lineage: Bacteria
Description: bacterial SSU rRNA
Rfam family: Bacterial small subunit ribosomal RNA
Source: RNAcentral